GAAAUGCGAUAAGUAGUGUGAAUUGCAGAAUUCCGUGAAUCAUCGAAUCUUUGAACGCACAUUGCGCCCCUUGGUAUUCCAUGGGGCAUGCCUGUUCGAGCGUCAUUUGUACCCUCAAGCUCUGCUUGGUGUUGGGUGUUUGUCCCGUCUCCGCGCGUGGACUCGCCCCAAAGUGAUUGGCAGCCGGCGUACUGGUCCCGGAGCGCAGCACAUGUCGCGCAAACGAGUGCCUUGGUACGGCGGCGUCCAUAAGCCCCUCUCUCACGCUCUUGACCUCGGAUCAGGUAGGGAUACCCGCUGAACUUAAGC
Molecule: unclassified non-coding RNA, 309 nt
Filed under: plant metagenome
Description: partial contains 5.8S ribosomal RNA, internal transcribed spacer 2, and large subunit ribosomal RNA
Rfam family: 5.8S ribosomal RNA (bases 1-105)
Source: RNAcentral